RNAcentral lists this ribosomal RNA (299 nucleotides) under uncultured Pseudomonas sp. Its description in RNAcentral is "partial 16S ribosomal RNA". It matches the Rfam family "Bacterial small subunit ribosomal RNA", at positions 1083 to 1382 of the family's 1533-position model. The record is from RNAcentral. Lineage: Bacteria; Pseudomonadati; Pseudomonadota; Gammaproteobacteria; Pseudomonadales; Pseudomonadaceae.
CGUCCGUAACGAGCGCAACCCUUGUCCUUAGUUACCAGCACGUUAUGGUGGGCACUCUAAGGAGACUGCCGGUGACAAACCGGAGGAAGGUGGGGAUGACGUCAAGUCAUCAUGGCCCUUACGGCCUGGGCUACACACGUGCUACAAUGGUCGGUACAAAGGGUUGCCAAGCCGCGAGGUGGAGCUAAUCCCAUAAAACCGAUCGUAGUCCGGAUCGCAGUCUGCAACUCGACUGCGUGAAGUCGGAAUCGCCAGUAAUCGUGAAUCAGAAUGUCACGGUGAAUACGUUCCCGGGCCUU